Mangifera indica (mango) is the source of this 522-nucleotide long non-coding RNA. RefSeq lists it as uncharacterized. Lineage: Eukaryota; Viridiplantae; Streptophyta; Magnoliopsida; Sapindales; Anacardiaceae. The transcript is spliced from 2 exons. The record is from RefSeq and is a predicted model, not a curated record.
CAAAAGCUUUAUAAACUGGUUUUCUCUCUUUGAUAGAUCCACAACUUGAAAAUAAAAGAAAAAUGGAGAAAAUUUCCCCAAAAUUUGCUUGCUUCGUUGUCCUCCUUCUGAUUGCAACUUCUGGUUUGCCAUGGGGAGCAGAAGCAGAAGAGUGUAAGCAAGAUUCAGACUGCAAGACACUGUGCAAUGAGCAUGGGAGGCCAAUCUGCCAUCCCAAAUCUCUAACUUGCUAUUGCUCUAAACCUUCUAUUCCUGGAGUUAAUAAUUAUUAGCAAGAGGGUUCUUCUUCCUCACUGCCACUCCACUCCACUCCAAAUAAAUAAAUUGAUAUUAGUUUUAUAUAUGUAUUCCAACAUAAAGAAUGAAAAUUCUUUUUGAAUAAUUUUUAUUUAGUUUUUUCUGUUGAUUUUAACAUCAACUUUAUUCCUGAGAAAUAAAAAUAUUAUUUAUUUUUUCUCAUGUUUUACUCGGAAUUCUAUUCUAAACUUUCAAAAAUUAUAAAAAAAAAAGUAUUAUUUUAUA